AGUGCUUGGCCAUUAAGAAAUCUGAUUUUCUCCUCUCAUUUGAGGCUUGGCCGAGAGAAGAGAAAUGGCAGCGAGAGAGAGAGGGAGCUCGGGGCUGGGCGUGCGAUUGCAAGCGAGAGAGAUCGCGAGUGAGAGCUUGCGAGAGAGAAAUGCUGGCCGGAUGUGCUAACCGAAGGCAGCAACCAUGGCUACCGUUUGAUGGCCGAAAUAGAGAAUGAGAGACAGAGAGAGAGGGAGCCUGGCCGAAGAUCGUGAGAAGCCGAGAGAGAGAGAGCUUGUAGGAGAGAGUGAGAGAGAGAUCAGGAGAUGGAGAGAUGGCCAGCUAAGAGGCUGCGUGAUGCAGCGACGGCUAUGGAAGCAGCAACGGCAGCGAGCAGAAGCGGCCAUGGCGGAUGUGGCUUCUGUCGAUGCUCCGAACAGCAAGGAAGGAGGCAUCAGCAACUCGGAUGAUGGCAAUCGGCCGUGAUCGUGGCGUCCAGCGAUGACGCGGGUGCUGGCUUGGCUAAUGUGGGUGGCUGGAAUAGCCAUGGCCGCCUUGCGCGCAGGUGGCUGCUCGCGGCGUGGGGGCAGCUUGAGGCGGUGGCGGCCGGUCAACGAGUGGCGUGGUUGCGUGAAGCAGCAGUUGGUGGCGAGCUGGUGGCAGCGGCGACCGGCGUGCGUAGCCGAGCUGCUGUGCGCGGGUGCUUGAGAAGAAGCCGAGUGUGCGCGAGAAAUGGAGAAGGAAUAAGACAGUGAACAGUGGAGGAAGAAAAUAAAGAAAAUAAAGGGAAAAGAAAAUAAAGAAAUAUGGAAAAUUCUGGAAAAUAGGAGAAAAUCCUGAAAAAUUUCAGAAAAUUUGGGAAAAGUCCCAGAAGCUCGAGAAUGGGAUUUCGGGCAUGAGACGGCAGCUCGAGAAGCAACGUCAGCGUGGGCGUUUGGCCGAUUUUUCCUUCCAAAUUGAAUGAGGUCCGACCGGGGAGACGGUGAUCCUAGAAGAGCUCGGUGUUCGGGCUGGAGUUCGUGCUGAGGCAGAGUUGAGGCUUCGAGCCAGAUUUGGGCCGCAAAUUUGAGCUAUUUCGAUAGAGGCGCAAGUGGGCUUCGCAAAGUGGACGGACAUCGAGUUUGAAAGAGGCAACCAUACUUCAUUAUGGGUUAUGGGCGAAUUUAGAAUUCAUUGGGCUUUUUUAAUUAAUUAAAUUAUGGGCCAUAUGUAAUAAACAAUCCCUAAGCCCAUUUAGCCUAGGUUUUGCUUUUCCAAAACCCUAUAAAUAAGAGCUAGCAAAGAGGCAAUUGUGUGGCCGAUUUUGGAGGAUUUUCACCGCUUCUAUGGAAGGCUAAUUUGCUUGUAAUCUGCUACAUCCCAUACCCCUUGCCCGGUUUGAGUCUCGGUCAUGUAGUCGAAUCCGGUUUGGAACUCGAUUUUCAUGUUCUUAUUGAUUUCGUUUCUUUUC
This is a long non-coding RNA of Diospyros lotus (date-plum), 1430 nucleotides long. RefSeq lists it as uncharacterized. The transcript has 3 exons. Lineage: Eukaryota; Viridiplantae; Streptophyta; Magnoliopsida; Ericales; Ebenaceae. The record is from RefSeq and is a predicted model, not a curated record.